RNAcentral lists this unclassified non-coding RNA (232 nucleotides) under Hevea brasiliensis (rubber tree). The record is from RNAcentral. Lineage: Eukaryota; Viridiplantae; Streptophyta; Magnoliopsida; Malpighiales; Euphorbiaceae.
CAAGGCAAAGGAUAAAGAUCAUGAUCGUGACAAGUCUAGAGAGAAGGACCGUGAGCGUGAUAAGGAUAGGAAAGACCGAGGGAAGGAAAAGAGCAGGGAUAGGGAGAGAGAGAAAGAAAGAGAAAGAGUGAAGGAGAAGGAUAGAGAGAAAUAUAAGGAUCGAGAAAAAGAGAGGGAAAUUGAUAAAGAUAGAGAUAGGGAAAAAGCAAGAGACAAGGCUAAGGAGAGGGAG